RNAcentral lists this ribosomal RNA (254 nucleotides) under uncultured bacterium. Its description in RNAcentral is "partial 16S ribosomal RNA". It matches the Rfam family "Bacterial small subunit ribosomal RNA", at positions 524 to 776 of the family's 1533-position model. The record is from RNAcentral.
UACGUAGGGUGCGAGCGUUGUCCGGAAUUAUUGGGCGUAAAGAGCUCGUAGGCGGUCUGUCGCGUCGAUCGUGAAAACUUGGGGCUUAACCCUGAGCUUGCGGUCGAUACGGGCAUGACUGGAGUUCGGCAGGGGAGACUGGAAUUCCUGGUGUAGCGGUGAAAUGCGCAGAUAUCAGGAGGAACACCGGUGGCGAAGGCGGGUCUCUGGGCCGAUACUGACGCUGAGGAGCGAAAGCGUGGGGAGCGAUCCGG